This is a long non-coding RNA of Galleria mellonella (greater wax moth), 1284 nucleotides long. RefSeq lists it as uncharacterized. The transcript is spliced from 3 exons. The record is from RefSeq and is a predicted model, not a curated record. Lineage: Eukaryota; Metazoa; Arthropoda; Insecta; Lepidoptera; Pyralidae.
UGAAUAGUAUUUUUGCGGUAGUAAAUUCGAAUCACAUUCGAAUCUACCUUAUUAAUCAGAAAAAUGAGUAGUUUUAAAAAUGAAUUUACAAAAGAUGGAAUAUUAUAUCAAAUUAGUUUUCCUAGUUUUGAAAUAUAUGCAUAUAUAUAUAUAGUUCAUUUAUAAAAUAUAAUCUAACCUACCACCUAUUUAUCCUUUAAGGAAACCUAAAUUGUUACAGAAUUUAAUGAACAUUUAACCUAGUUUAUUAUAGAAUACACUUAGUAGGUUCAUAUGUAUGUAUAUACCUUAUUACAAUGCAUUAUUUAUUAUGCGACACGAGCUGGUAUAUAAUUAUAUGCAACUAGAUAUUUACCUAUUGCCCUCACACAAAUAUGCUAAAGAAUUACUACGAGCAACUGUACUUGAGCACAUGACGUCACAAAGGUCAAUGGAUACUACCCAACCAAAUGUACAGAUUUAGACAAACGGUAUGUUAUAUGGAAUUGGAACUUUGUAAUUUCGUCGGAUAAUACGCGAUAGCAGCGCCAGCAGACGACGGUGGCAAAAUUCUGAACUUUUUAUUUAUUAUCUCAGUGAACCAAAUCAAGCAUUCAGUACUUGAAACCAAAAAUCGAUCUAUAGUUUAGAGCAUUCACACUGGAGUUGCUACACAAAGAAACGUGAUUUACAUAAAUUUAACAAGUGAAUUACCUUUCCUGACAUCGCACAUGGAACAUUUAAAUGCCUCUGCAUUAUUUCUGUGAGCGCCGAUGUGUUGAGCGAACACGUGUGAACCAAAUAACGCGACAGUCGAUACGGAUUUCCCGCGCACAGUCGCAAACUCGCAGCGCGGACUGGGUUUUUGUACUCAUAUCUUGUUGGGAUGUGCAUCUUCGGCCGACAAAAUUGUGAUACAUUGAAUAAAAAUUUUAAUUUUCCUGCUUUUUCACGCAGUUGUCUAAGAGAGUAUAAUUUCUAAUACAAAUAUUAUAGAAAUCUGGUCAGUAUCUUUUGUACAAUUGUAGCAACUUUUUAUAAUGAACUGUUACUUUGUGUACGGUCGCUGAGAUCAAUGUAAGGAAUAAAAAAUGUGGAGACGCAAACACACUGUUAUUGACGUUUAUUGCGGGUGUAUAAAACAAUUUGCUAUUAUAAGAAUACAAUUUUAGUGUUGCCAGCCAAUAAUAAUGUUGUUAAAUUCACUUGAACGCUACAAAUAGAGUACUUACAAGUUAACAGUGUAGAAUCAAUAUAGUCAUUAAUUUUACAUUUUGUAUUAUUUUUUAAGUAGUGCAAUAAGGA